AGUUCGAUCAUGGCUCAGAUUGAACGCUGGCGGACGUUUUACACAUGCAAGUCGAACGGCAGCACGGACUUCGGUCUGGUGGCGAGUGGCGAACGGGUGAGUAAUGUAUCGGAACGUGCCUAGUAGCGGGGGAUAACUACGCGAAAGCGUAGCCACUGCAUACUGCCCUUCGAAGGGGAAAGCGGGGACCUUCUCGGGCCUCGCACUAUUAGAGCGGCCGAUAUCGGAUUAGUUUGUUGGUGGGGCAACGGCUCACCAAGGCGACGAUCCGUAGCUGGUUUGAGAGGACGACCAGCUGGGACUGAGACACGGCCCAGACUCCUACGGGAGGCAGCAGUGGGGAAUUUUUGACAAUGGGGGAAACCCCGAUCCAGCCAUCUCGCGUAUGUGCGAUGAAGGCCUUCGGAGGUUGUAAAGCACUUUUGGGCAGGGAAAGAAACGGCACGGGAUAAUACCCCGUGCAACUGACGGUACCUGCAGAAUAAGCACCGGCUCAACUACAAACCAGCAGCCGCGGUAAUACGUAGGUGCAAGCGUUAAUCGGAAUUAUUGCCGUAAAGCGUGCGCAGGCGGUUCGGAAAGAAAGAUGCGAAAUCCCAGAGCUUAACUUUGGAACUGCAUUUUUAACUACCGGAGCUAGAGUGUGUCAGGAGGGGAGGUGGAAUUCCGCGUGUAGCAGGAAAUGUGUAGAUAUGCGGAGGAACACCGAUGGCGAAGGCAGCCUCCUGGGAUAACACUGACGCUCAUGCACGAAAGCGUGGGGAGCAAACAGGAUUAGAUACCCUCCUGGUAGUCCACGCCCUAAACGAUGUCAACUAGCUGUUGGGGCCUUUCGGGCCUUGGUAGCAGCUAACGCGUGAAGUUGACCGCCUGGGGAGUACGGUCGCAAGAUUAAACUCCAAAGGAAUUGACGGGGACCCGCACAAGCGGUGGAUGAUGUGGAUUAAUUCGAUGCAACGCGAAAAACCUUACCUACCCUGACAUGUCUGGAAUCCCGAAGAGAUUUGGGAGUGCUCGCAAGAGAACCGGAACACAGGUGCUGCGGUCAUGGCUGUCGUCAGCUCGCGUCGUGAGAUGCUGUUAAGUCCUGCAACGAGCGCAACCUCUUGUCAUUAGUUGCUACGAAAGGGCACUCUAAUGAGACUGCCGGUGACAAACCGGAGGAAGGUGGGGAUGACGUCAAGUCCUCAUGGCCCUUAUGGGUAGGGCUUCACACGUCAUACAAUGGUCGGGAUGCGGUCGCCAACCCGCGAGGGGAGCCAAUCCCAGAAACCCGAUCGUAGUCCGGAUCGCAGUCUGCAACUCGACUGCGUGAAGUCGGAAUCGCUAGUAAUCGCGGAUCAGCAUGUCGCGGUAACAUGUUCCGGUCUUGUACACACCGCCCGUCACACCAUGGGAGUGGGUUUUACCAGAAGUAGUUAGCCUAACCGUAAGGAGGGGCGAUUACUGCGGUAGGAUUCAUGACUGGGGUGAAGCUGUAAUAAGAAACCUGAAGACUACAUCGAUGUCCAAUGACAAUGACACAACCCAU
RNAcentral lists this ribosomal RNA (1531 nucleotides) under uncultured Bordetella sp. RNAcentral's name for it is "partial 16S-23S ribosomal RNA intergenic spacer". It matches the Rfam family "Bacterial small subunit ribosomal RNA". Lineage: Bacteria; Pseudomonadati; Pseudomonadota; Betaproteobacteria; Burkholderiales; Alcaligenaceae. The record is from RNAcentral.